RNAcentral lists this ribosomal RNA (467 nucleotides) under uncultured bacterium. Its description in RNAcentral is "bacterial SSU rRNA". It matches the Rfam family "Bacterial small subunit ribosomal RNA", at positions 328 to 792 of the family's 1533-position model. The record is from RNAcentral.
UGGCCAGACUCCUACGGGAGGCAGCAGUGAGGAAUAUUGGUCAAUGGGCGAGAGCCUGAACCAGCCAAGUCGCGUGAAGGAUGACGGCCCUACGGGUUGUAAACUUCUUUUGUCAGGGAGCAAUUGAGUCCACGUGUGGUCUUAGCGAGAGUACCUGAAGAAAAAGCAUCGGCUAACUCCGUGCCAGCAGCCGCGGUAAUACGGAGGAUGCGAGCGUUAUCCGGAUUUAUUGGGUUUAAAGGGUGCGCAGGCGGAGGUGCAAGUCAGUGGUCAAAUUGCGGGGCUCAACCCCGUACUGCCGUUGAAACUGGCAGUCUCGAGUUGGAGAGAAGUAUGCGGAAUGCGCGGUGUAGCGGUGAGAUGCAUAGAUAUCGCGCAGAACUCCGAUUGCGAAGGCAGCAUGCCGGCUCCACACUGACGCUGAGGCACGAAAGCGUGGGUAUCGAACAGGAUUAGAUACCCGCGUA